Molecule: ribosomal RNA, 712 nt
Filed under: Sordariomycetes sp. genotype 16
Lineage: Eukaryota; Fungi; Ascomycota; Sordariomycetes
Description: eukaryotic LSU rRNA
Rfam family: Eukaryotic large subunit ribosomal RNA (bases 318-712)
Source: RNAcentral
UUAAAACUUUCAACAACGGAUCUCUUGGUUCUGGCAUCGAUGAAGAACGCAGCGAAAUGCGAUAAGUAAUGUGAAUUGCAGAAUUCAGUGAAUCAUCGAAUCUUUGAACGCACAUUGCGCCCGCCAGUACUCUGGCGGGCAUGCCUGUUCGAGCGUCAUUUCAACCCUCAAGCCCUGCUUGGUGUUGGGGUCCUACGGCUGCCGUAGGCCCUGAAAGCUAGUGGCGGGCUCGCUAUAACUCCGAGCGUAGUAGUAAAAUAUCUCGCUAGGGAGGUGUCGCGGGUUCCGGCCGUGAAAGCCCAUCUUUUACACAAGGUUGACCUCGGAUCAGGUAGGAAUACCCGCUGAACUUAAGCAUAUCAAUAAGCGGAGGAAAAGAAACCAACAGGGAUUGCCCCAGUAACGGCGAGUGAAGCGGCAACAGCUCAAAUUUGAAAUCUGGCUUCGGCCCGAGUUGUAAUUUGUAGAGGAUGCUUUUGGUGAGGUGCCUUCUGAGUUCCCUGGAACGGGACGCCAGAGAGGGUGAGAGCCCCGUAUAGUUGGACACCGAGCCUCUGUAAAGCUCCUUCGACGAGUCGAGUAGUUUGGGAAUGCUGCUCAAAAUGGGAGGUAUAUCUCUUCUAAAGCUAAAUACUGGCCAGAGACCGAUAGCGCACAAGUAGAGUGAUCGAAAGAUGAAAAGCACUUUGAAAAGAGGGUUAAAUAGUACGUG